Molecule: ribosomal RNA, 467 nt
Filed under: uncultured bacterium
Lineage: Bacteria
Description: partial 16S ribosomal RNA
Rfam family: Bacterial small subunit ribosomal RNA
Source: RNAcentral
GACGAACGCUGGCGGCGUGCUUAACACAUGCAAGUCGAACGGAAAGGCCCUGCUUUUGUGGGGUGCUCGAGUGGCGAACGGGUGAGUAACAAGUGAGUAACCUGCCCUUGACUUUGGGAUAACUUCAGGAAACUGGGGCUAAUACCGGAUAGGAGCUCCUGCUGCAUGGUGGGGGUUGGAAAGUUUCGGCGGUUGGGGAUGGACUCGCGGCUUAUCAGCUUGUUGGUGGGGUAGUGGCUUACCAAGGCUUGGACGGGUAGCCGGCCUGAGAGAGUGACCGGCCACAUGGGGACUGAGAUACGGCCCAGACUCCUACGGGAGGCAGCAGUGGGGAAUAUUGCACAAUGUGCGGAAGCCUGAUGCAGCAACGCCGCGUGCGGGAUGACGGCCUUCGUGUUGUAAACCGCUUUCGCCUGUGACGAAGCGUGAGUGACGGUAAUGGGUAAAGAAGCACCGGCUAGCUACGU